Molecule: long non-coding RNA, 225 nt
Filed under: Mytilus galloprovincialis (Mediterranean mussel)
Lineage: Eukaryota; Metazoa; Mollusca; Bivalvia; Mytilida; Mytilidae
Source: RNAcentral
GUACAGUUUUAUUGAAAAUUACAAUGGUAAAUCUUGUUUUUUAUUCAAAGAAUGGGUUUCAUCAGAUUUUUUAAACUGUUUUCUGAUGCUGCAGGUACUUAUGGUGGUUUUGCUGCAGUUUUUGGUAGCAAAUGGUUUUCAGGGAAAUGGCCACCGGAGUUAUUUGAUUUACACAUUACAGUGAAAGAACUUUUCCCGAUUGUGUUAGCUAUUGAUAUAUGGGGC